UCUUCGCUCCUCUACCCCAUAAAAUUCCCUACAAAUGCAAAAAUUCGAGAUAGAAGAAGCCGUCCCUGAAAUUGCUGUCUAACAUUCACCGGAAACCUCUCCAUAAACAAGGAGAAACGAACGCACACACAUUUUUGCUAAGAAGCCCGGGAUUAAGAUUAAGGAUACAAGCUGAAAGAAAAAAUGAAAAAUGCUUCUCCGCGCGUCAGUCGAGGGGUGGAUGCGCCACGCAGCGUGAGCCCAGCUCACAGCCACGCGUAAGACCAAAAGCUGCCAUGGGUUCUGCGCGCGGAGACCUCAGAGCCGAAGAGAGAAGUCCCCGCGACAGAAACGCUGCGGAUGCCAGGUCUUGAAAAUGCUGACUUCUGAGGCUAAGAAUUAUUUCAAAGACAAAAAGAAAAGACUGGUGAGGAGGCCUUCCGGUGCAAGGGCGCCUAUCCGCUAAUUUUGGUUGGGGAAGUAGGGAUUAUUCGUUUAAAUUCAAUCGCCAGCACCAAGUCGGACUGGCCGGGGAUGGAGAAGGGCAACCCCCACCUUUAGAAAAAUAAAAGAUCUCGAAGGCCC
Molecule: long non-coding RNA, 564 nt
Filed under: Pan troglodytes (chimpanzee)
Lineage: Eukaryota; Metazoa; Chordata; Mammalia; Primates; Hominidae
Description: lincRNA
Source: RNAcentral